GAACUGAAGAGUUUGAUCAUGGCUCAGAUUGAACGCUGGCGGCAGGCCUAACACAUGCAAGUCGAGCGGAUGAAGGGAGCUUGCUCCUGGAUUCAGCGGCGGACGGGUGAGUAAUGCCUAGGAAUCUGCCUGGUAGUGGGGGAUAACGUCCGGAAACGGGCGCUAAUACCGCAUACGUCCUGAGGGAGAAAGUGGGGGAUCUUCGGACCUCACGCUAUCAGAUGAGCCUAGGUCGGAUUAGCUAGUUGGUGGGGUAAAGGCCUACCAAGGCGACGAUCCGUAACUGGUCUGAGAGGAUGAUCAGUCACACUGGAACUGAGACACGGUCCAGACUCCUACGGGAGGCAGCAGUGGGGAAUAUUGGACAAUGGGCGAAAGCCUGAUCCAGCCAUGCCGCGUGUGUGAAGAAGGUCUUCGGAUUGUAAAGCACUUUAAGUUGGGAGGAAGGGCAGUAAGUUAAUACCUUGCUGUUUUGACGUUACCAACAGAAUAAGCACCGGCUAACUUCGUGCCAGCAGCCGCGGUAAUACGAAGGGUGCAAGCGUUAAUCGGAAUUACUGGGCGUAAAGCGCGCGUAGGUGGUUCAGCAA
RNAcentral lists this ribosomal RNA (590 nucleotides) under Pseudomonas aeruginosa. Its description in RNAcentral is "bacterial SSU rRNA". It matches the Rfam family "Bacterial small subunit ribosomal RNA", at positions 1 to 586 of the family's 1533-position model. The record is from RNAcentral. Lineage: Bacteria; Pseudomonadati; Pseudomonadota; Gammaproteobacteria; Pseudomonadales; Pseudomonadaceae.